AAUCAACGCUGGCGGCGUGCCUAACACAUGCAAGUCGCACGAGAAAGCGGACUUCGGUCUGCAAGUACAGUGGCGCACGGGUGAGUAACACGUGAAUUAUCUACCUUCGAGUGGGGAAUAACCUCGGGAAACCGAGGCUAACACCGCAUAACACUUACGAGUCAAAGCAGCAAUGCGCUUGAAGAGGAGUUCGAGGCAGAUUAGUUAGUUGGCGGGGUAAUGGCCCACCAAGACGAUGAUCUGUAUCCGACCUGAGAGGGCGCACGGACAAACUGGAACUGAAACACGGUACAGACUCCGGCGGGAGGCAGCAGUGGGGAAGUUUGCGCAAUGGGGGAAACCCUGACGCAGCAACGCCGCGUGGAGGAUGAAAGCCCUUGGGAUGUAAACUCCUUUCGAUCAGGACGAUUAUGACGGUACCGGAAGAAGAAGCCCCGGCUAACUUCGUGCCAGCAGCCGCCGUAA
Molecule: ribosomal RNA, 465 nt
Filed under: uncultured bacterium
Lineage: Bacteria
Description: partial 16S ribosomal RNA
Rfam family: Bacterial small subunit ribosomal RNA
Source: RNAcentral